Molecule: ribosomal RNA, 238 nt
Filed under: Rhizopus arrhizus
Lineage: Eukaryota; Fungi; Mucoromycota; Mucoromycetes; Mucorales; Rhizopodaceae
Description: partial large subunit ribosomal RNA
Source: RNAcentral
GUAUCAUCUAUUCUUCGGCCUGGAUGCCUUGCAGGCUAUGCCUGCCAACGACCUCCCCACUUGACGGAAAAAACUAAGGGAAAUGUGGCCCACUUGUGGGUGUUAUAGUCCCUUACAAAAUACCUUGGGUUGGAUUGAGGAACGCAUCGAAUGCUUUUUGGCGAGUUUUCCAGGAAGGUUUUCUGAGGUACUACGGUAUCAGGUUGAUCUUUUUGGUUAUACUUCUAUUCCUUAGUUU